CUACGGGAGGCAGCAGUGGGGAAUCUUGCGCAAUGGACGAAAGUCUGACGCAGCCAUGCCGCGUGAAUGAUGAAGGUCUUAGGAUUGUAAAGUUCUUUAGCCUGUGACGAUGAUGACGGUAACAGGAGAAUAAGCCCCGGCUAACUUCGUGCCAGCAGCCGCGGUAAUACGAAGGGGGCUAGCGUUGUUCGGAAUUACUGGGCGUAAAGCGCGCGUAGGCGGUUUUACAAGCCAGAGGUGAAAUGCCUGAGCUCAACUUAGGAAUUGCCUUUGGAACUGUAUGGCUUUGAGGACGAGAGAGGUGAGUGGAAUUCCCAGUGUAGAGGUGAAAUUCGUAGAUAUUGGGAAGAACACCGGUGGCGAAGGCGGCUCACUGGCUCGUUACUGACGCUGUAGCGCGAAAGCGUGGGGAUCAAACAGGAUUAGAUACCCCGGUAGC
RNAcentral lists this ribosomal RNA (439 nucleotides) under uncultured bacterium. RNAcentral describes it as "bacterial SSU rRNA". It matches the Rfam family "Bacterial small subunit ribosomal RNA", at positions 339 to 794 of the family's 1533-position model. The record is from RNAcentral.